Molecule: ribosomal RNA, 253 nt
Filed under: uncultured bacterium
Lineage: Bacteria
Description: partial 16S ribosomal RNA
Rfam family: Bacterial small subunit ribosomal RNA
Source: RNAcentral
UACAGAGGGGGCAAGCGUUAUUCGGAAUCACUGGGCGUAAAGCGCACGUAGGCGGAUCUUUAAGUCAGGGGUGAAAUCCUGGAGCUCAACUCCAGAACUGCCUUUGAUACUGGGGAUCUCGAGUCCGGGAGAGGUGAGUGGAACUGCGAGUGUAGAGGUGAAAUUCGUAGAUAUUCGCAAGAACACCAGUGGCGAAGGCGGCUCACUGGCCCGGUACUGACGCUCAGGCGCGAUAGCGUGGGGAUCAAACAGG